GGAUGAUUUGCCACCCCUGAAUCAGUCCAACUCUUCCAUUCUCAGAGGAGGGCACUGAGGCGGGGGGGGCCUGGCCAGCCCAAGCCCUGUCUGCUGCUCGGCUGAGCAAGAGGGACAUGAACGCAGCUCUUCGUCCUCUGCCCUGUGCUUGCAUUCUCUUGAGCUUUCUCUCUGGUGAACAGUCUCAGACUGCAAAGCAAGUCAGCACUACCACAGAGGGAAUCCCAAACUCGCUGCUGAGAACAGAACAGCUGUGCCCUCGCCGACUGGGACCCGAGUGACAUCUACUGGAGCAAGCAGGGGCUGCACGUGAGCAGGCAGCCAUUCGGUCACUCCCCGUCAUUCCAACACAAUCGAAUUUGUGUAGAAAAUUUACAUGCAUCAUAGGCUAUUUAUGAAUAUAUGCACACGUAGAAAGAGGAAAAAUACGCUUGGAAAUGGUAAACAUAACUUCAAGAUAGUAGUUACCCUUGGGUUCGGUAGGGGUGAAGGAGUGGUAAGGGUUUUAGUUUUAUCUUUAACCAUUUCUUUUUUCACUUACUUAUUUGUAGAGAUGGGAGUCUCACUAUGUUGCCCAGGGUAGUCCUGGUCUCAAGCAAUCCUCCCACCUUGGCUUCCCAAAAUGCUGGGAUUACAGGCGUGAGACACCAUGCCUGGCCACAAUUUGGUUUCUCUUUCAAAAGAUCCGAUACCAGUGUGCCAAAGUAUUGACAUCUAUUAAAUCUUUCAGGUGGUCCUACUGAGGUCUGUUUUUCUGUGCUUAUCUCUAAGUUUAAAAUCGUUCAUAAUAAACAUAUAGUUUAUAUUAAUAGUAAUAAUAUACAGUAUAUAUUAUACUAUAUAUUUAUUAUAUAGUAUAUACUUUAUAUUCAUUAUAUAUUGUAUACUUACAUUUAUGGAAGGAAAAUAAAAAACAAAAAUGGAAAAUUUGUGGUCCAGAUUCUUGGUCCCAAUGGUAGCAGGGCAGUUUAAUAGCAAAAGUUCUUAAUACUUGUUGGCUGCUGUUACCAUCAUUAAUAAGUAUCCUGGAGUUUACUGGAGUAACUGAACAGCAGUCGAAGCUCAUGUAUAGGCUAGAGGAGAAUCACGCUCUUCAACAGUAGUGACAAGAUGAAGAUACACUGAGAAGACUCAUUUAUUUGCUAUUAUUGAAAAAUUGUUCAUACCCCAUAGGAAGAUGUGGCAUAGAACAUCAGAAUGUUCUUAGAAUUGGGAAACUCUCAGGUAGGAGGCUGAAAGAGAAAGCCAAAAUGACUAUUUUAUUUCCAGAUUAAAGUUGUGCCUAGAAUGAUCACAAACACAACCUCCCACUGUUAGAACCAGAGUCCAGAAGCACCUAACACAGGCAGCAGUACUAGAGCAGGGCUCACGAUAUUUUGAUAACUCAAGUUAUACCUUUAUGAGUUUUUACAUAUCCAGGUACCUAUUGUAUGAUUAUUUGUAUAAUAUAUUUUUAAAACCUCACUUUUUAUGCCAGAGGUUUGAAUGUAAUCGGUCUGGGUUGUGUCUUGGGAUUUUAAAAAAUGUCCCCAGUUGAAUGUAAAUAUAAGCCAAGAUUGAAAACCAUUUCUUCAAAUCAAGAAAGGGGAGUCCCAGGCGCCAGAGAUGAAGAGGACAUGGAAAGGUAGAGUGUCGGUGGGGCGUGGUGGCUCACACUUGUAAUCACAGCACUUUGGGAGGCCGAGGCAGGCAGAUCACGAGGUCAGGAGAUCGAGACCAUGGUGCAACCCUGUCUCUACUAAAAAUACAAAAAAUUAGCCGGGCGUGGUGGCAUGCGCCUCUAAUCCUAGCUACUGGGAGAGGCUGAGGCAGGAGAAUGGUGUGAACCCAGGAGGUGGAGCUUGCAGUGAGCGGAGAUCAUGCCACUGCACUCCAGCCUGGGCGACAGAGUGAGACUCCGUCUCAAAAAACAAACAAACAAAAAAAAACACAAGAAACGAAAAGAAAGGUAGAGUGGCAAGUGUGAGAGCUGAUGUGCGGGAGCUGGAGCCUGGGUGGGGCACAUUCUGAUGCACGCUCAUGGGGACAGGUGAUGAGGCCUUAGAAAGGGGAGCUGGAUCUGAGAUUUGUGCAAAAGUCAGGACCCUUGAAAAGCUGUCUGCUCAGUGAAUGGGGGACCAGACAAAUCCUACCUGCUGGUGAGGGAGACUUCAGUUGCUUAGGCUCUCGGUGGGGAAAAAAUAUCUCUCAUGUAAUAAACCGAAACCUAAGCUGAGAAAUUCACUUAAACAUUGGUCCAAACAACUCAAAUAUCCAUCCAUGGAUGAAUGGACAGACUAAACGUGGAAUAUACAUACAAUGGAAUAUUAUUCUGCCUUAAAAAAGAAAGGAAAUUCUGAUACAUACCAUAACAUGGAUGAACCUUGAGGACAUUAUGCCAAAUGAAAGAAGCCAGAUGCAGAAGGACAAAUACUGUAUAAUUCUACUUACAUGAGGUACCUAAAAUAGUCAAAUUAAUAGAGACAGAAGGUAGAAUUGUGGUUAUCAGGGCUGGGAAAGAGUGGAAUGGGGAGUUAGUGUUUCAUGGGCACAGAGUUUCAGUUUGGGAUGAUGGAAAAGUUGUGGAAAUGGAUGGUGGUGACGGUUGUCCAACAAUGCAAAUAUACUUGAUGCCACUGAACUGUACACUUAAAAGUGUUUAAAAUGGUCAAUUUAUGCUAUGUGUAUUUUAUCACAAUAGACAAAAAUGAUCCCAAGUUUAUGAUAUCCUUCGUGGAGCAUCUGGAAGAAUCAAAUAGUAAAGUACAUGAUUCUCUUCCCAGUGUGUAGA
This 2770-nucleotide long non-coding RNA is filed under the name Homo sapiens (human). RNAcentral describes it as "HSALNT0345256". The record is from RNAcentral. Lineage: Eukaryota; Metazoa; Chordata; Mammalia; Primates; Hominidae.